Molecule: ribosomal RNA, 533 nt
Filed under: Actinoplanes sp. SAUK6010
Lineage: Bacteria; Bacillati; Actinomycetota; Actinomycetes; Micromonosporales; Micromonosporaceae
Description: bacterial SSU rRNA
Rfam family: Bacterial small subunit ribosomal RNA
Source: RNAcentral
ACCUGCCCUGGACUUUGGGAUAACCCUCGGAAACGGGGGCUAAUACCGGAUACGACACUUCACCGCAUGGUGUGGGUGUGGAAAGUUUUUCGGUCUGGGAUGGACUCGCGGCCUAUCAGCUUGUUGGUGGGGUAAUGGCCUACCAAGGCGACGACGGGUAGCCGGCCUGAGAGGGCGACCGGCCACACUGGGACUGAGACACGGCCCAGACUCCUACGGGAGGCAGCAGUGGGGAAUAUUGCACAAUGGGCGGAAGCCUGAUGCAGCGACGCCGCGUGAGGGAUGACGGCCUUCGGGUUGUAAACCUCUUUCAGCAGGGACGAAGCGUAAGUGACGGUACCUGCAGAAGAAGCGCCGGCCAACUACGUGCCAGCAGCCGCGGUAAGACGUAGGGCGCGAGCGUUGUCCGGAUUUAUUGGGCGUAAAGAGCUCGUAGGCGGCUUGUCGCGUCGACUGUGAAAACCCGCGGCUCAACCGCGGGCCUGCAGCCGAUACGGGCAGGCUAGAGUUCGGUAGGGGAGACUGGAAUUCCU